This 74-nucleotide transfer RNA is filed under the name Thalictrum thalictroides. It matches the Rfam family "tRNA". Rfam says of the family: Transfer RNA (tRNA) molecules are approximately 80 nucleotides in length. Their secondary structure includes four short double-helical elements and three loops (D, anti-codon, and T loops). The record is from Rfam by way of RNAcentral. RNAcentral also lists the same sequence under 1 other name. Lineage: Eukaryota; Viridiplantae; Streptophyta; Magnoliopsida; Ranunculales; Ranunculaceae.
GCCUUCAUAGCUCAGUUGGUUAGAGCGUCCGCUUAGUAAGCGGGAGGUCCUGAGUUCAACUCUCAGUGAAGGCA